AAAUAAGAAACAAUUAAUUGUUUUUAGUUUCGACCUAAAGUUAGAUGAAUCUUAUCAUCCUUAUUUU
This 67-nucleotide transfer RNA is filed under the name Trinodes hirtus. Its description in RNAcentral is "tRNA-Arg". Lineage: Eukaryota; Metazoa; Arthropoda; Insecta; Coleoptera; Dermestidae. The record is from RNAcentral.